RNAcentral lists this ribosomal RNA (420 nucleotides) under Fusobacteriota bacterium. Its description in RNAcentral is "Fusobacteria bacterium partial 16S ribosomal RNA". It matches the Rfam family "Bacterial small subunit ribosomal RNA", at positions 355 to 776 of the family's 1533-position model. Lineage: Bacteria; Fusobacteriati; Fusobacteriota. The record is from RNAcentral.
UGGGGGAUAUUGCACAAUGGGCGAAAGCCUGAUGCAGCGACGCCGCGCGGGGGAUGAAGGCCUUCGGGUUGUAAACUUCUUUUGCUCUGAACAAGGCAUGCCUUUGGGGUGUGCUGAGUGUAGGGGUUGAUUAGCGCCGGCUAACUACGUGCCGGCAGCCGCGGUAAUACGUAGGGCGUGAGCGUUGUCCGGAAUUAUUGGGCGUAAAGGGCUUGUAGGUGGCUGGUUGCGUCUGUCGUGAAAGCUCAUGGCUUAACUGUGGGUUUGCGGUGGGUACGAGCUGGCUUGAGGGCAGUAGGGGGGGCUGGUAUUCCUGGUGUAGCGGUAGAAUGCACAGAUAUCAGGAGAAAUACCGGUGGCGAAGGGAGGUCUCUGGGCUGUUACUGACGCUGAGGGGCGAAAACGUGGGGAGCGAACAGG